AUGUACCAUCUCCUCCUCCUCCUCCUCGUCCUGCUCCCCUUCGCCACAGCCGACGCCCACGCCGCCGCUUUCUGCAGCAACGCCACCUGCGGCGGCCAGAGCAUCGCCUACCCGUUCUGGCUCGCCAACUCCGGGCCCAACUGCGGCUACCCGGGCCUGGGCGUCUCCUGCAACGAGAACACCCCGAUCCUCGACGUCCAGUUCCACCAGUACAGGGUCCUGCGCAUCGACUACGCCAACCGCGCCGUCUCCCUCGCCGACGUGGACGCCUGGAACACGACCUGCCCGCGGCUCAGCUUCAGCCUCUCCGUCGACCCCCGCUCAUCGCUGCAGCUCACGCCCUCCAACUCCAACCUCACCCUGCUCUACAACUGCAAGGCCGGCGUCUCCCGGCCCUCCGCCGUGAAACUCGACGGGUGCCCGGAACAGAGCAUGGCCUGGUACGUGCUCCCUGAUGACGACGGGGCCACGGGCGACGCGCGCGCGUACGGGUGCGAGGAGGCGGUGACGACGCCGGUGCUGAUGAGCCCGCGUCGUCCGGCGAACCCGUCGCUCCGUGAGGCGCUCAGCGGUGGGUUCCAGAUGCGUUACGAUGAUCGGUCCGAGCGGUGCGGCGCAUGCGAGCAGUCCGGCGGACGGUGCCGAUACGGGCGCAUCGAGGAGCACGGCGGGACGGGCUUCGCGUGCGUCUGCGACGAUGGCGCGAACAAACUCCGGUGCGGGGAUGCACUCUCCUUAUGCUUGAAGAGACAAAAAUUGUGUAAGACACAUCUCUUAUUCUCAAGUCCAUCAUUUUGCUUCUCCCUUGUGGUCAUAUAA
This 819-nucleotide ribosomal RNA is filed under the name Triticum aestivum (bread wheat). RNAcentral describes it as "partial small subunit ribosomal RNA". The record is from RNAcentral. Lineage: Eukaryota; Viridiplantae; Streptophyta; Magnoliopsida; Poales; Poaceae.